GGGCGAGGCGGGUACUUGACUCCUCCCUCUUCGCCGCCUUUUCUGGGGAAGCGGAGAUUUGCAGAUACUCUCACCGAUAUCUUGACGAAUUCUGCGGUUUUGGUGCGGACGGAAGAAUGUGGAGAGUCGCAGAAAAGAUACCACAAGAUGGAAUGUCGUCAUGCAAGCCCCAACACUUUGAUGUGCACACCAACAUCGCAUAAACAGUCAAAAGAGACAAGAAAUGCUUCAUUCAUUCAUCUUGUAUAGCAAGGUGUAUCCCAACAGAAGUCAAAUUAUGAAUCUGCUUUCGACCUACAUUACUGCCAGAAGCAGCAUUGCCUACACCCUCUGAAACAUGCCAUCCCAGGGAGAGCCUGAUCUAAACUGUGAUAAGAUUUCCAACACAUAAUAUAACAUCAACUUGCUGUGGAAGUCUCACCACACCUUUAAACAACUGAUUUGGACAUUUACCUGAGUUAACACAUACAUCAGAUUCAGCAAUAUGUUUGGGGCAGUAUCAAAAAGUUUUCAAUAGAUUAAAACACACACUCAAUACACAGUGGACCUCUCUAUCUUUAACCAAGUUCCAUUUUUAGUCCAAAUGCUCCCAAUCUUCAUAUUAAAAUGCCUAUUACUAUGCUCCUCCCUCAGUGCUGCCUCUGGGUCCAAAGACACACAUUCCAUAUAGUUAGACAGAGUCAUAUUUAUUAUUGAAAGCCUAGCUCACACGCAUAGACAUCAGUUGUACAACUUUUUCAGAGUAAAAUAUCACAGCAACCUC
Molecule: long non-coding RNA, 763 nt
Organism: Ahaetulla prasina
Lineage: Eukaryota; Metazoa; Chordata; Lepidosauria; Squamata; Colubridae
Exons: 3
Source: RefSeq, a predicted model, not a curated record